This 297-nucleotide ribosomal RNA is filed under the name Clostridioides difficile. RNAcentral's name for it is "partial 16S ribosomal RNA". It matches the Rfam family "Bacterial small subunit ribosomal RNA", at positions 512 to 809 of the family's 1533-position model. Lineage: Bacteria; Bacillati; Bacillota; Clostridia; Peptostreptococcales; Peptostreptococcaceae. The record is from RNAcentral.
CAGCCGCGGGAAGACGUAGGGGGCUAGCGUUAUCCGGAUUUACUGGGCGUAAAGGGUGCGUAGGCGGUCUUUCAAGUCAGGAGUGAAAGGCUACGGCUCAACCGUAGUAAGCUCUUGAAACUGGGAGGCUUGAGUGCAGGAGAGGAGAGUGGAAUUCCUAGUGUAGCGGUGAAAUGCGUAGAUAUUAGGAGGAACACCAGUUGCGAAGGCGGCUCUCUGGACUGUAACUGACGCUGAGGCACGAAAGCGUGGGGAGCAAACAGGAUUAGAUACCCUGGUAGUCCACGCUGUAAACGA